Molecule: ribosomal RNA, 301 nt
Filed under: uncultured bacterium
Lineage: Bacteria
Description: partial 16S ribosomal RNA
Rfam family: Bacterial small subunit ribosomal RNA
Source: RNAcentral
CAGCCGCCACGGUAAUACGUAGGGUGCGAGCGUUAAUCGGAAUUACUGGGCGUAAAGCGUGCGCAGGCGGUUUGUUAAGACAGAUGUGAAAUCCCCGGGCUUAACCUGGGAACUGCAUUUGUGACUGGCCGGCUAGAGUAUGGCAGAGGGAGGUGGAAUUCCACGUGUAGCAGUGAAAUGCGUAGAUAUGUGGAGGAACACCGAUGGCGAAGGCAGCCUCCUGGGCCAAUACUGACGCUCAUGCACGAAAGCGUGGGGAGCAAACAGGAUUAGAUACCCGCGUAGUCCCUGUCUCUUAUAA